CAAUGGAGAGGGUGGAAUCUGGAAGGGACCUGAGAGCCAAGAUAUAUGCGAAGCUCAGCAAAGAAAACUCACUGCACCGGGCUGAGCCAGGCGCAUCAGCACCCGAUGUUGGUUGGGUUUCUGAGCUGGUAAAGUGAAGCUGAAUCCGAGUCAAAUCUGCAUGGAAUUUAAUUCUUUAUGCUGUUUUCUAAUGGAUAAUUAUUUUCG
RNAcentral lists this unclassified non-coding RNA (207 nucleotides) under Hevea brasiliensis (rubber tree). The record is from RNAcentral. Lineage: Eukaryota; Viridiplantae; Streptophyta; Magnoliopsida; Malpighiales; Euphorbiaceae.